GGUGGUUCUCAGGUGAUGCACCCUGGAAUCGGGCUCCCUCCUCUCUGGUUCCAGGUGCAUCACCCAAGAACCACA
Myotis brandtii (Brandt's bat) is the source of this 75-nucleotide non-coding RNA. Lineage: Eukaryota; Metazoa; Chordata; Mammalia; Chiroptera; Vespertilionidae. The record is from Rfam.